This 188-nucleotide non-coding RNA is filed under the name Evansella cellulosilytica DSM 2522. RNAcentral describes it as "Bacillus cellulosilyticus DSM 2522 6S / SsrS RNA". It matches the Rfam family "6S / SsrS RNA". From Rfam's summary of the family: E. coli 6S RNA was the first non coding RNA to be sequenced, but its function was unknown until recently. It consists of 184 nucleotides that fold into an extended hairpin structure with a large single-stranded internal bulge. The 6S RNA specifically associates with RNA polymerase holoenzyme containing the sigma70 specificity factor. The record is from Rfam by way of RNAcentral. Lineage: Bacteria; Bacillati; Bacillota; Bacilli; Caryophanales; Bacillaceae.
UGCGUCCUGUGGUGUACGUCAAAACUUUAAAUGUUUGAGCCAACACCGUUACAUUGGGAGCACCGUGUUUCUGAUACAUAUAGCAAGCCUCAAGAAAUGAUAGUGGAAGCUAGAAUUGAAGAACAGGGCACCCACCUGCUAGAUGCAGGUUCAAAACUGAAAGUAGAAACGGCACACAUGGGACAAAA